UAGUAUCCAAAUAGCUCGAUUACUCAUGCUCCACAAAAGGACACGCGUCCUAAGUACUCUACAAUGUGCAUCUGAUGAGACUCACAAAAGAAGCCUUGUGCGCAGACACUCACAUUGAUCGUACGAGCAACGUCAAGAUUAAUUGUGAGAGGCACUAAAAAUAACAAGUCACAAAGCAAGAAAAUAAUUGCAUAAAGACAUCAAUAUAGGACAAGCACU
This 219-nucleotide long non-coding RNA is filed under the name Setaria italica (foxtail millet). RNAcentral describes it as "long non-coding RNA (SITA_LNC003735)". The record is from RNAcentral. Lineage: Eukaryota; Viridiplantae; Streptophyta; Magnoliopsida; Poales; Poaceae.